AUCAAACACAGGCCAUGUGGUCCCCCUCCUUCCUCUUUCUGCUCCAUUUCCAGCACCACAGGAUUGAAGCCUCCCAAAUCGCAUGCAGUUUUCAGGCUGGGCGGUGGGUUAUGACGUCAUGAGCCCCUCCGUCUUCCUCCUAUGCCUCCUCACCAUCCUCGUCCUUCCCCACUCUGCCUUUCCCUCUGACUCUCAAGGGUAUUUGUUAAAUUGCGGAGGCUCGGAAAAUGUAACAGUGGGAAGUCUCAAUUACAUAUCUGAUCAGGACUUCAUCCGAGUGGGCAAUAUCACUACUAUAAAGUCAGAAAACUUGGUUCCCGUACUGUCCACAGUACGUUACUUUCCUGACACAAAGGCCAGAAAAUACUGCUAUUCUAUACCCGUCAACGCCCAGGGCAAGUACCUUGUGAGAACCAUAUUCUAUUAUGGAAGUUUUGAUGGAGGGAAGGAGCCUCCUGUGUUUGACCAAAUUGUUGGAGGGACCAAAUGGAGCAUUAUAAACACCACAGAGGACUAUGCCAAAGGCCUUAGUUCCUACUUCGAGGUCGUAGUGAUGGCUUUUGGGAACAGGUUGAGUGUGUGCUUGGCGAGGAAUGAUUGGACCGGUAGUUCCAGCCCUUUCAUUUCAGCAUUGGAGGUGCAGGCCUUGGAUGCUUCUGUGUAUAAUCCCACUAACUUCACCACAUAUGCCCUUGUCACUGUUGCAAGGCAUAAUUUUGGAGAAGGCGAAGAAAUCAUUGGUUAUCCUGAUGACAAAUUCAACCGGAUGUGGCAACCAUUUUUGGACCAGAACCCUUCUGUCACGAGCCAUUCCAAUGUAACAUCAUCAGAUUUCUGGAAUCUCCCGCCAGUGACAGUAUUCAUAUCUGGAAUUACAACUAGUAGAGGGAAGGUGCUUGAGCUUCAAUGGCCACUUGCGUCCCUUCCGAGGACCAACUACUACAUAGCCCUGUAUUUUCAGGAUAAUAGGUCACCAAGCGCUUACAGCUGGAGGAUAUUUGAUGUUGUUAUUAAUAACCAAACUUUUUUCUCCAAACUCAAUGUCACAGCAAGCGGUCUUACUGUUUAUUCUCCACAGUGGCCUCUCUCUGGUCAAACCAAAAUCACUUUGGCCCCUAGAGAAGGAAGCACCGUUGGACCUGUAAUCAAUGCUGGAGAAAUCUUACAGGUUCUUCCUCUGGGGGGCCAUACUAUUCAUAGAGAUGUGAUCGCAAUGGAAGAAUUGGCUAAAUGUUUUGACAAUCCUCCUCCUGAUUGGAGUGGGGAUCCCUGCCUACCUAAAGAAAAUUCAUGGACUGGAGUUCAAUGUUCUCAAGAGUUUAUUUGCCAGGUCAUCUCAGUGAACUUGACGGAGGUUGGGCUGUCUGGGUCACUUUCUCCAAGCAUUGGCCAUUUAACUGGUCUCAUAUACCUUUGGCUACCUGGAAACAACCUCUCAGGAGAAAUUCCCGACAUGUCUAAGCUGAAGGAGCUACAAACUUUGAAUUUGGAGAAUAACCAGCUUAAUGGGCCAAUUCCAUCGUCACUGGGGAAACUCCCAAAACUGCGUGAAAUAUAUCUCCAAAAAAACAAACUAGAUGGCAAAGUUCCUCCAGAGCUACAAAAUCGGAGUGGCGUGGAAGUAUAACCAAUCACAGCACCUCUUCACGAUCUGUUAGUUCUUUCUUCUUCUGGCUUCACCUAAGCGCACGCCUUCUGGAAAGCUUCUGGAAAUCACCAGUCAGAAUCAGCUUUAAUGUCAUUUGCAAAAUGAUGAUGGAGGAGUACUGGCAAAUUUCCUUGGCAAUUUAGUAUGUGAUUAGGGAGUCUUUUAGGCCUUCAAUACAUACAAAUCGUUUCUGGUUUGGCAUUAAUUGCUGUGCAGGCUCCGUAACGUAAAUCAAAAACUAGGUUCACUAAACACUGUAUCAGCAAAAAGAGCAUAUUACGCCCGGUGAUUCAUUCUGCUUAAUUUACCUGACUGUGAAAAUGAGUAAGAGUUGCUUUGUUUAUUACUUUAUUUUGCCAUACAGUUGUAAGUGCUACUGCAUGUGGUAGUGGGUAUAUGAAAAUUUAAUUAUUCU
RNA transcript from Prosopis cineraria, 2063 nucleotides. It is a transcript of the gene named probable LRR receptor-like serine/threonine-protein kinase At5g59680, with no coding region annotated. The transcript is spliced from 9 exons. The record is from RefSeq and is a predicted model, not a curated record. Lineage: Eukaryota; Viridiplantae; Streptophyta; Magnoliopsida; Fabales; Fabaceae.